This 23112-nucleotide long non-coding RNA is filed under the name Olea europaea (common olive). RNAcentral describes it as "long non-coding RNA (OEUR_LNC007832)". The record is from RNAcentral. Lineage: Eukaryota; Viridiplantae; Streptophyta; Magnoliopsida; Lamiales; Oleaceae.
GUUGCUGUUUGUGUUUCCCUUCAUCCGCAGAUACCUUGAGAGAUCAAAUUACAAAAUUGUGAUGUUCACGAUGUGGUGGUCACAGGUAUAUACAAUAUCAGUUUUCGCAGAUACAUGUCAAAUGACAAAGAAACAUUUGAGAAAGCUAAUGCUAUUUUUACUUAAAUGUCAUGCAGCCUCGGCUCUAUGUUGGAAGAGGAAUGCAUGAAAGUGCAUUUUCUUUAUUUAAGUAAGGAAUCAGAAGCAUUAGGUUGUAUAAAAUCAUAUAACUCAUUACCUAAUUACUUUAAUUUAAAUUCACAGGUAUACAUUGUUUUGGGUGCUUCUCAUCAUAACCAAGUUGGCUUUCAGUUAUUAUAUAGAGGUGCUUACUGUACUCGUUUAUUGAUUUCUAUUUUAUUCUCUUAUGCUAAUCUAUUUAUCACAUUAGGAUCUAUUACUUUUGAGAGAAAGAAUCCUUAGUGCGGCGUUGCAUUUACAAUGAUACCCAGAUUAUGUUGCAUUAAUGUUAUGUUUUAAGAACGCUUCAAUUACCAAAGAUGAGACAUCCUGUGUCGUGAGGUCAAGUAAAAACAUACUAAGUUCAUUAAACUGCUUAUUUUGCGGACAAUCUGAUCUGGUUUGUUAAUUUAAGCCCGACCAAACCACUUUUUAUCCACUCAUUUUGUAUGAUCUACAAGUACUACUCAUCACUCAUUUCUAUUUAUAUAUAAUUUAAAUCGAUUAUAAAUGACUCCAAAACAACUUCUAAACGUAUAGUGACAUAGAACAGUUGAUGUUUAACGGACCAAAGAUUUGAAUUGCAGAUAAAGCCUUUGGUGGGUCCAACAAAAGAAAUCAUGAGUGUUCAUAUAUCAACAUACCAAUGGCACGAGUUUUUCCCCCGAGGUAAUAAUCGACUGUUCAAGUCUGUACUACUCAAAUGUUACACACACACGCACACGAAAAUUAUUGUAUUGAUAUUGGUUAUCAUCUAUUGGUUUCCACUUCAUCAUGUGAUUACAGCUAAAAGCAAUAUUGGUGUCGUGAUUGCACUCUGGGCGCCACUUAUUCUUGUAUGGAUUAUGCAUUACUUAUAAUGAAAUUUCUUUUCUGUAUUUUCCUGUCAGAUAGAAGCUUUUAUUGAUGAACUUUGUUGGUUAGGUAUAUUGCCUCAUGUUGCUUAAAUCUGCUGUCCCUUUACAGGUCUAUUUCAUGGAUACCCAGAUAUGGUAUGCUAUAUUCUCAACUUUAUUUGGAGGUAUAUAUGGUGCGUUUCGUCGUCUGGGAGAGGUCAGUGGUUCCUUUUUUAUUUUUAAUCUCGGUGAUUUCAACGAUAUACUGUUUCCGCUAGUGAUAUUAUUCAGCAUGAUUGUGAAAUCUUUUGCUUUUGUUUGAGCUGCACAAGUUUGCUGACACUCAAUAAAUAUCAUCUUUGAAAACAUUCUAUUUCCUUCAUUCACUUUCUUUAUUUCUGUCACUAGCUUCUAACUGGCAUCAAUUUCAGCUUUCAGAUUCCUUUGUUGCUUUGUUUCAAUUUCACAAUAACCUUUGACACUAAUGCUUUGCAAAUCAGACCUCAUAACUUAUCGGCUCUUACCACUUUUGCAGUAGUUGGAUAGGAUGCUGGUAUUUGAAGUGUUAAUUGGCUUUGAGGACUAGUCGAAUGAGAUGAAAUUAAAAAUUUAAAUUAGGAAACAUGCCUGGAGCAACAUUAUUUUUGUAUGUACUAGCUUCAAAGAGGAUGAGCUGUGGACAUUAAUGAGAAACCCCUCUCAGUCACCAAGAAGAAGGUUUUAUUGUUUAUUAGCAUAGCAAGAUUAUUCUUGAAAUGUUCUUAGAACUCUUGAACUUCCAUGAGCUUAAGCAUCUUGGAUCAGUUUUUCAGUUUUAUCUUGCAAACUAAUGUGUCCAGCAGUCGUUGGAUAACAAGUUUUUCUUGUGACUGUAGAUACAUACAGGAAAGAGUUAUCAGAUACCUUCUUUUAUUUUAUGACCGAAGAGUAUUGAUUUAUAUCUGUGGCUUUAACUUUGUGUUAACUUUCAGAUUCGAACUUUAGGAAUGCUUAGAUCCCGAUUUGAAUCAAUUCCUGGUGCUUUUAAUGCCUGUUUAAUCCCUGAUGAGAAAAGUGAUUCAACAAAAAAGAAAGGACUGAAGGCCACCUUUUCACGCAAGUUUGAAGUGGUAGUUUAUUUAUUAAACUUUCUAUUUUAUUAUUUGGACAUAUGUUACUAUGAGAAUAUAUAAAAAUAGGAUGAAAUGCAUGUUAAUAAUGAAACUUAAGUUUUUUCUUGUGAAUAUUAUUGGUGAAGAUCCCAUCCAGUAAGGAGAAAGAAGCUGCAAGAUUUGCUCAGUUGUGGAACAAAAUAAUUACAAGUUUCCGAGAGGAAGAUCUUAUUAGCGAUAGGUAAUUGUCAAUUUGAAUAUUUUGAAAUCAGUUAUGUGGAUUCUUUUUUCUCUUUCACUUAUUUCUCUUACAUUGAUGUUUAGGGAAAUGGAUCUGUUGCUUGUUCCGUAUUGGGCUGAUCGUGACUUGGAGCUAAUUCAGUGGCCUCCAUUUUUGCUUGCUAGCAAGGUUUCUGUUUUACAUUUUAUGUCAAAAUUCUCCCGUGUUUCGGUGAUUUGAUUAAUUUCAUCUAUCUGUUGCCCAUGCUGCAAGUCCUCCUCCAUAUUGUUAUUAUGCUUUAUAUUUGGAAAAAUAUUUUGCAAAAAAACAUUAUUAUUUCCCUUCGUGGCCAAGACUGCUAGGGAAGAAAUGUCAAAAUUUUAUGAUGUGAAGGGGCAUUGUUAAGAACUAUAUAAAAGUUAAUAUAACUCAGUGAACUUGCUUGUUAUUUAACACAUAUCCAUUUCCUUCUCAUUGCAAAGCUAUAGAGCUAGCCAGCAAGCGUUCUCAAGACUACUUUGCUAAAAUGAAAAUCAAAUCAAUCUCCUCUGAAUAAUUUUUGUAAAGUAAACUGAAAAUUAUUUUAGAAAAGAGAGAUGGAAUUUUAUUGUGCCAUUUUUUUUUAACUACUGAAUGAUUGGAACUCACUUACUUCAAUUGGAACAUAGUCAACUUUUCAGUCAACGAGUGCAACGUAUACUGAAUGUGAUCUUCCAACACACAGAUCCCAAUUGCAGUGGAUAUGGCUAAAGAUAGUAAUGGUAAGGACAGUGAACUGAAAAAGCGGAUCAAGUCUGGUGAUUACAUGUAUUCUGCUGUAUGCGAGUGCUAUGCUUCAUUUAGGAACAUCAUUAAAUUUUUAGUUCGUGGCAACCGAGAGAUCCAGUAAGUUUUGGUUGCUUCUUGCUAAUGAGCACUUCCCUUGUUUGAUGGUGACACGUUCACGUAUCUCUUUCUUUAAUCAUACUGUGUGUGUCAGGGUUAUUGAAUACAUUUUCUCCGAGGUUGACAAGCAUAUAGAGGCAGAUGAUCUAUUGAAGGAAUACAAAUUGAGCGCUCUUCCUAAUCUUUAUGAAAAAUUUGUUAAGCUUAUAAACUACUUGGUAGGUCUUUUUUCUGCAGCAAAGAAAUUGCAGUUGAAAUUUCUCCUCCUUUUUCAACCAAAACAUAUUGCUGUUGUUGAGUUGUUGAUAUAGAGAUUCCAUGUUGAAUUGCCUGUUCUUGCAGAUGGAAAAUAAGCAGGAGGACAGGGAUCAAGUUGUCAUUCUCUUCCAGGACAUGCUGGAAGUUGUGACACAGGAUAUAAUGAUGGAGGAUCAUGUAUCUAAGUAAUAUGUUCUUCAUCACCCCUACUUUGAGUCAACUUUUGAGGUCUGAAUGGUUCUACUCAUUUCAACUUAAUUUUAUAUGAAUAGCUUGUUAGAUUCAAAUGAAGGGAUGAUCCCUCUGGAUCAACAAUAUCAGUUAUUUGCAUCCGCUGGAGCCAUCAUAUUUCCAACUCCUGAAUCGGAAGCUUGGAAAGAGAAGGUAAAUAAGGAAAUUCAAAGUGUUUCUUUGACUAAAUAUUUCAACCUUAUAUUAAUAAAAGUUUACAAUUGUUUCCUUCACAGAUAAAAAGGUUGUACUUUUUGCUGACGGUAAAGGAAUCUGCCAUGGAUGUGCCAUCCAACUUAGAAGCUAGAAGGCGCAUCUCAUUCUUCUCCAAUUCCUUGUUUAUGGACAUGCCUUCAGCUCCUAAAGUCCGCAAUAUGCUUUCAUUCUCGUAAGUUCUUUUGAGCUAUUUAGCCAAGACCUAGCAUUUCUGGUAUUUUGUAUAUGGAAAGAGUAGUUGUGUCAGAAGCAAACUUAAUAUUUUUUAAACAACUUAGUAGUAAAUUCAAGCAAGAUCAUUCGAAUGAGUUCAUUUCUUAUCAAUGAUCAAUAUAUUGGGAAGCUACUCGAUUCUGCUCAUAAUUAUGACAAUUGUGAGAAGUUUCGAAAAUGGAGAAGUGUUAAAAUUGUCGAAGACAUAAAUUAACUAUACAAGUUUGUCACCACUCUAUUAGCUUAAGCUCUUAGAUGAGCCGGUUUAACAAAAAUAUUCAACUUAAACCCUAUUGACAAUGAACUCCGAGGAAACCCACGGUGCAUACUGGUUUUGGAGGCACUGUAAUGUCUUAUAUGGGACAAGCUCCAGUUGCAAUAAAGUUCCUGGAAAGAUAGUAAAAGUAACAACUAAAGAAUUGAUGAUAUUGAAAUGAUAAUAAUUGUACAUAAAAACCUGGCUAAAAAGAAAGACGUUUUGAGCCUUGACCCACAGGGAGUAAUAUCAUAAUAGCCAUAGUUAUUUUACUUUAAAACUGAGCCAUAUUAUUGUAAUCUUCUCUGAUUUCUUCCCUUAUUAUUAUUAUUUUUAAUGGAUUUUGGAUCACAAGUUCUACAUUUUUUUCAUUUCAUUAAAUGACGUGGUAGUACAAUUUUACAAGACUAAUCGUAGUUUACUAAAACAUUGUAGCUGAUCUGCUCACGUGCUCCCAUUAAUGCAUUAUGGCCUGAAAGAAUUCCUUCUUUGCAGUGUUUUGACUCCAUACUACACAGAGGAGGUCCUCUUCUCAUUGCCUGAGCUGGAAGUGCCAAAUGAAGAUGGUGUCUCCAUCCUCUUUUACUUGCAGAAAAUUUUCCCAGGUUUGUUCUUCUGAUGUUGUCAUGUAUUACAUCAUAUUUCUGAAUUUCUGCCAGGCUUACUGAUGAAAAUACAGAUGAAUGGAACAAUUUUCUUGAGCGUGUCAAGUGUGACAAUGAAGAACAGCUUAGGGGGUCUGACGAUUUAGAAGAACAACUAUGCCUUUGGGCUUCAUAUAGGGGUCAGACAUUGACCAGAACUGGUAUGGAACAAUACUUUUUCUCCGUCUCAUAGGCCGUUACUUGUAAUGUGAUUCAAAAUAUAUGUUUCCUUCUUUUUUUUUUUUUUCCUAUUUUCUUUCUUUUUAUAUUCACUGCCAAUUUACCUCGAUAGACCUUCUUCCUAACCUUCUUUCAUAUAUAUAGGGGUUUACAAUUAUAUACAAGGAAACCCUAGCUGUACAAAGUAAAUUUAUCUAAACAAGGAAACUAAUUAUACAAAGAAACCUUUCAAUUUAUUGUAAAUCACACGCCUCUAAUAUUCACGGGAUUGUUGGAGGUUCUGUAAGGGGAUUGCAAUGCCUGAGAAUGAAGUAGGUGUGGCAAUUUGGAUUCACUUAUUUUCUUAUCAUGCCAGCCAGAGGAGCUCAACACAAAAUUGGUUGGCAAUUCUUGGCACAAACAUUAUCCGUUAUUAUAUGCGUAACAUGGCACAAUCAGAUAACCUUUGUUGCUCGAACUCAUCAUUUUAGAGGAAGUACCUGUGUUGGACACACAUGAUAAGGCUAGAUAAGGCUAUGGGAUCCUUCUGGGAUCCUUUAUAUCAUUUUUGUUAUUUUGGUAAUGUAUGUUUCACAUCUAGGCUUGAUAAAAUACAAAGGGAGACUUUUUAGCCUUGUCCCCAAAUUGUGAAUUUUAGGAAAAAAGGGAUUUGAUUCCUAGAUAUGUACCUAUACCAGAUACCCACGCCUAAGUCCAAGCAACAUAGCUGAUAACAUUAAUACAAACUUGUCCACAUCUAGUGGGUAACUUAGGAUACAAGGCGACAGUCUGCAAUUUUUGUGCUAUAAAAGGUUUCACCUAUUUUAACAUGGAACCAUAGAUGCCAAACCAAAUCUUUUGACAGCUUAUGCUGCCUCUGUUGAGUUAAUAAGUCAUUUUGGAAAGUGCCUCCUGCAUUGAAGUGUGUUUUAUUUUAAGGAGAUUGUUAAUUUCCCAAUGUUUAAAUUUUAUGGAGUGAUAUUAUCUGAUUUAUGACAGUAAGGGGCAUGAUGUAUUAUCGCAAAGCUCUUGAACUUCAAGCCUUCCUUGAUAUGGCCAAGGAUGAUGGUAACUCCCUCUUGCAUGCUGGCAUCUUUGAAGAAGUGCAGAUUUUUUGCAAUGCUAGCACUUCAGUGAUGUAGUAAAGAACUCUGUGAUAUUGACCGUUAUAGUUUGUCUUUCGAACAGAUUUAAUGGAAGGCUAUAAGGCCAUUGAGUUGAAUGAGGAUCAGAUGAAGGGAGAGAGGUCACUUUGGGCACAAUGUCAAGCAGUGGCUGAUAUGAAGUUCACAUAUGUAGUAUCGUGCCAGUUAUAUGGGAUUCAGAAAAGAUCUGGCGAUCCUCGUGCACAAGAUAUAUUACGACUUAUGACAACGUAAGUGCCUGAUAUUGAUCAUGUUGUUGUCUUAUUGUUGUUAUGACCUAUUUAUGGAUUUCCUUUAACAGGUAUCCAUCUCUUCGAGUAGCCUACAUUGAUGAAGUUGAAGAACCAAGCAAAGACAGGUCCAAAAAAGUUAAUGAUAAGGUGUACUAUUCCACUCUUGUGAAGGCUGCUUUGCCGAAGUCAAAAUCUUCAGAGUCGGGACAGAGUCUAGAUGAGGUAAAAGAGAAAUGAAAUAGAAGUCAAUUCUUGAAGGUGAAAUAGUAAGUUACUCAUAACAUAAGAAGUCAUAAUCUCUACACUAUAGUAAGGGCACAGCAGUACAGACAAUGAAUUGAAGAAAAGAUGGCGAAUCAUCAAGGAGAUAUGAAUACACUUCUUUUGCUUUGUUAUUUCCUCGUUGUAGCUCUUACACUAUUGGAUCUUUCUUAUAGACACUAGCACGCAAAGAAAUUUUAUAUAUUUCACACACACAUAUAUGUUGAUUUACCAUAAGUUAUGCUGCAGAUUUUUAACUGAUUUUAUGGAUUUCCUUUUGUAGGUUAUUUAUCAUAUAAAACUUCCUGGACCUGCCAUCUUGGGUGAGGGCAAGCCUGAAAACCAGAAUCAUGCCAUUAUCUUCACCCGUGGUGAAGGUUUGCAAACAAUAGAUAUGAAUCAGGUGUAGUGUUGUCAAAAUGUUUUCACUUUGAAUUCUCUCUUUCUGGGUGCUGACAUGAAAUAUCCAUCCGUAGGAUAACUACAUGGAAGAAGCUUUAAAAAUGAGAAACUUACUUGAAGAAUUUCUUAAAAAGCAUGAUGACGUGACAUACCCAUCAAUACUUGGACUGAGGGAACAUAUAUUUACUGGAAGGUAUGCACUUAGUGAUAUAUAGCAUAUCCUGGCUCAAAUUGUAUACACCACUUCACACCUUACUAUGUGAUGCAGUGUUUCAUCUCUUGCUUGGUUUAUGUCAAAUCAAGAGACAAGUUUUGUCACCAUUGGUCAGAGACUAUUGGCCAAUCCUCUGAAGUAAGACUUCUUUUUCCACCAACUCCCCUUCUCUCGAAUUUUCCGGUGCAUCAUGUGUAUCUCAAUGCAGAUGCUAGAAAUAUAUUUUCCAUUAUGCCUAUGUCUGUACUGCCACUUUCUGUUAGUUUUGGUUGAGAACUAUGACAUUAUGUGAUGCACAAAUUAUUAUAGUUAUAGCAUCAAGAAUUCUAAUUGGAUUUAAAACUAAACUAGGCUGUCUUGAUUUAAAUCUGAAUUGUGGAUGAGGACUUCUUUAUGCUUAUGGAGGACAGUUCCAAACCUUGUUUUUUGACAUUUCCUUAAUUUAUUAUAAAAUGGUGCUAUCUCCACUUGUUGACAUGUAUCCUUUGUUUGACUUUGUCUAUUCUACGAUAUAAAUUUUGUUCAAUGAUUUUCAAGAUGUCAUAUUUCUUCAAGCUUUCAUCUACUUGGACAUUCUCAUCGUACUGUAAUAUAAAUUUAUUUCUCAGAAAGAAUUAUAAUAUCCAAAAGUUUAUUUUUCUGCCAGUAUUGUGCCAAAAAUUGCUUUCAUGGUAAAAUUGUGUUUGAAUAUUUUGCGUUAUUUUCCUUGAUUUUUUUUUUUAUAGGCAAUCAAAUAUGUUAUUAUCAAAAUAUAAUACGCAGAAUGUGUAUUAUCAAUUUAAACAAGAAAGAAACAACACGAAAUUGGAUAUUCUGUUUUUAUGACUUGUAGCCGCAGCAUUAAAUCAAGUAUAAAUUGUCAAAUAAAAUAAUUCUCUACACUCCUCUGCUGUCUGAUCAUCAAAACACCGACCGUCUCUCCACACACCAUAUGAUGCAACCCGAAAUGAGGUUCCAAACAAUCUUGCCAUCCUUAUCGAAAAGCUUUCUCCUCCAUGCCUUUAACACAUCUUCUAUUCGCCUCGGCAUCAUCCAAUCUAUGUGUUGCAUGGCCAGAAUCUCGUUCCACAACAAACAAGCAACAUCACAAUGGAGGAGUAAGUGUUCAAUUGUCUUCCCAUUCCUCCUACACGUAUAGCACUACUCUAUAACAUACAGACUCCUUAUUCGGAGAUUGUCUAUUGUUAACACCUAUCUCCUGACAAUCGUCCAUAAUAAGAAUGCCACUUGUGGAGGCACUUUACAUUGCCAUACCAUCCUUCAAGGGAAUGAACUCUCCGCGAAUCUCAAUAAGGAUUUAAAAUAAGUGACAUCCGAAAAUAUGCCAUUUCGUGUCAGCCCCCCAUCUGCUACGAUCACCCUCUCCUACCCUAAUGUGUACCUCAUACAAAGAAGUCGAGCGGCGCAUAAUCAUCAACUUCCCAAUCCUGUAAACCUCUUCCAAAAAUAAUGUUCUAGCUAAGACCCCCAUUGUGUAUAUCUAAGAUCUUAUUCAACCUAGUAAACAGCUCCACAACAAUACAAUGCAAGGAAAUCCCACCCCUUAACAGUUGAUCUCCACACUAACAAUCAUUCCCAAAAUUGAUAAUAUUACCAUCCUCCACAAAAGUCGCUCUCUCCCAAAAGUCACUCCACCCUCGUUGUAUAUACCGCCAUAAGCUCACUCCAUAAGAACCACGACCUUUGAUUGAGCACCAUCCUCCCUCCAUAACACCGUAUUUCGCCCCUAGAAUUUCUCUCCAAAAACUAGCCCUUUCCACUUCGAAUCGCCACAACCACUUACCUAACAAGGCCAUAUUAAAUAAUAUAAUGCUUCUUAAUCCGAGAUCCCCCCAAGCUUUUGGGAGAGCAAACUUCUCCCCAUUGACCAAGUGAAAUUUCCUUUACUUCCCUAAUCCUCCCCAAAGAAAUUCCUUUUGAAUCCUUUCUAAUCUUUUUGCCACCGCAACAGGAAUCGGGAACAAUGACAAGAAAUAAGUAGGGAGAUUUGAUAGAGUGGACUUAAUGAGUAAGACGGCCUUCCUUGGAAAGGUACAUGCUCUUCCAACCCGCUAACCUCCUCUGCACACUUUCCACAAUAAGUUCCAUAUAUGUAUACUUUUAAACCGUGCUCCUAAAGGGAGCCUAAGAUAAGUUAUAGGCAGUUGAGCAACCUUACAACCCAAUACAUCAGCCAAUUCUCCUACUUUAUCGAAUUCUCCUAUUGAGAUAGGCUUGGAUUUCCCCAGAUUUAUUUUCAAUCCAGAAACAGCUUAAAAACACAGAAGCAAAUAGCGCAAGUUCCUGAAUUGCUCGAAGUUUGCAUCAUAGAAGAUCAGUGUAUCGUCGGCAAAUAACUAGUGAGAUACCCGUAGUUGAUGAAUCAUGAAGCCUUUUAACAAACUCUCCCCCAUAGCCUUUUCCAGCAUCAAACUGAAAGCCUCCAUUAUGAUAUCAAACAACAAUAGCGACAAAGGAUCUCCUUGUCUCAAACCUCUGCUACUCUAAAAAUUACCCUUGGGAGUGCCAUUCUCCAGAACUGAGAAAGAAACCCUAGAGAUACAAAACUAAAUCCACUUGUACCACUAUCCCCUUGCGCCUGAGCAUAUACAAUAGAAACCCAGUUCAUGUCGUUAUAGGCCGUUUGAAUAUCAAGCUUACAUAGCAUCUCUAGAACCCCUAGACGCAGUCUUGAGUCAAUGCAUUCAUUUAUCAAGUACUGAAUCCAAUAUCUGACGCCCUUUGACAAAAGCAUCUUGAAACUUAGACACCACUUAGUCUAAUAUCUAAAAUCUUCGAUAUAAUUUUGUACACCUUGCUUACUAAACUUAUAGGACAGAAGUCUUUGAUAUUCGUCACUCUUGGUUUCUUCGGUAUCGGCAUUGUAAAUGUAGCAUUAGAACUUCUCAAGAACCUGCCACACUCAAAAGGGAUAGGCAAGGACAUCUAUAAUAUCCGGUCGCACCACUUCUCAGCAAGUCUUAUAGAAUGAGAAAGAGAAUCCAUUUGGUCCUCAGACCUUAUCGUCAUUCAUGUUGAACACCAUCUCCCUAAUCUCAUCCUCCCUAAUCUCUCUAACCAAUUGGCAUCCUUCGCAAUAACAGUGGAAAGAUCUAGCUCCAACUGCGGCCUCCAAUCACAUUGUUCUCGAUAAAGAUUUUUUAUAGAAAUUCACCAUAUGGGUCCCAAUAUCCGGUGGAUCCUCAUAAGUAAAUUCAUCGACCCCUAACAUAGUGAUGGAAUUGUUAUGCCUGUUGAAAUUAGCAACCCUAUGGAAAAACUGGGUGCAUUUGUCCCUUUCUUUCAACCACUUGACCUUAGAUUUCUGGUAUGAAGCAAUCUCCUCUAUCUUCACCAACCUCUCCAACUCUCCCCUUAGCUUUCCCCGUCUCUCUUUCUCAUCCCCUACCAAUCUUCAACUCUCCUCUCUCCUAUCCAACUCUUCAUUAUCUGACAAACAUUGAUUUUUACAGCAGUUAACAUCUCCUACCACCUCCUCAUUCUAACUCUUUAGAUCUCUUUUCAACGCCUUCAAUUUCUGAUUCAACACAUAACUGGGAGACCCCCUAAAAUCAUAUGAUGCCGACCAUGUCCGAACUUGUUCCUAGAAGCAUUCCACUUUCAACCACAUUUUCUCAAACCUAAAAGGCCUUUGUCCCCUCCAUCUCACAUUCCUAGAUAACAAAAUAGGGAAAUGAACUGAAUACAACCCCCCAAGUCUCCUCAAAGUGACCUCUGGGUACCUAGCCUCCCACUCCACACUAACCAAAAAUCGAUUUAUUCUAAGAUAGAGCAAGUUCCCGAUUAGAUGACCAUGUGAACUCUCCUCCAAUCAAAGCCAAGUCCACCAACCUAUUCUCCCUGAUAAAAUCUGAGAAGUCCUUCAUAGCCCCUGUUAAUCUACCACCACUAGACCUUUCUGUAGGAAAUCGACUCACAUUAAAAUCUCCCCCAAUACACGUUAGGAGGUUCCACCAAGCCAGUGGAAAGAUCUAGCUCCAACUGCGGCCUCCAAUCACAUUGUUCUCGAUAAAGAUUUUUUAUAGAAAUUCACCAUAUGGGUCCUAAUAUCCGAUGGAUCCUCAUAAGUAAAUUCAUCGACCCCUAACAUAGUGAUGGAAUUGUUAUGCCUGUUGAAAUUAGCAACCCUAUGGAAAAACUGGGUAUCAUCAUGGCAGCUAACUUAUCACACAAUCCACCUCUACUUUCAUCAUCAUUCGACCCAUAAAUUCCUAUAAACAUCCAGUGGAAACUAUUCCCAAUAUUUCUAAACAAUAGCGAUAGAGAAAAUAGCUCUUUACUAACCUCUUCCAUGUCAAAGACUCUAAUAUCCCACAUGACUAGCACACCUCCUGAAGCCUCUGAAGACCCUACAAACUGAUACCCAACAUGUUGCCCCCCAUAAGCAACUCACGAUAGCCCUCGAAACGACUUUGUUUCCUAUAAGCAUACAAGGUCAGUCCUCCAUCCUUUAACAAAUUUUGAACACCUAACCUUUUCCCAGCUUCAUUUAGGCUCCUUACGUUCCAACUAAUUUAUUUGGAAUCAACUUGACACUUCAAUAUCCCCCCUCCCUCGAUCCUCUUCUUGGCUCUCCAUCCUUGACGUCAUAAUUAACUGAGCAUUCAAGCCACUUAAGCUCAUCAUUUCCCUUUCUUCUUGUCUUACCUUCUAGUGUACCCAUUACUCGUCCCCUACUAACCUCAAAUUCCUCAAAUAAUUGCAAGAGCCUAUUUUCAUACCCAUCAAGACACACCUACCAUCUUAUUGAAAUCCAAAUUUUUUUGAAGAACCCAAUUUGAUGGCAGUUUAACUUCAAGUGCCAUAACUUUCACUAUGUCUUCAGCAUAGAGAGGGUCAUAGUGGUGUCCCUCGUCUACCUCCAUCUGCACCACUCCACUGUCUAUAUUCUCCUUCUCGGGUCAUCAACUCACACCACCAAAGCUUUAUCAUUCCCUGAGUCAUCCUCGUUUAGAGACUUUGAAUAUCUCCUGCAGUAGGUGUUCCCUACCAUAGUUGGUGAACCUGUCAUUCCAUCCUGUUUCUCAAUUGUCGACGCUGAUUUGUCUGCUAAUACAACUUUGGUCUCUAACUCCGUUGCCGUCACUAAUCCUUCCACUGAAUUUUUAUCCAACGCACCCAAUAUUGACCAAUUAUCGUUAGUUACAUCUAAUAUCCCCGACUCCAAAUUCAACAUACUUGGCUCCCUUUCUUUGGCCAAAGGUGCAACCUCCACCACUAUAGUCUACGCUUGAGACUCGCCGCUUUGCUCAAUUUUCCAUUGGUUGUAUACUCAUCUAAGCCCUACCCACACGUAUGACAAACUCUUCCUAAGGCCGACUACAUACCCACUAUCCGGUAACCUUGUUAAUUCAUCCAAUUCUCCAUUCAAUGACUUGAUGUGAUUCCUUAUUCCAUCACUAUUGAAAAUACUAUCACAUAUACCUUUUGUAUUCAUUUUCUUAGACUUGUGCGCCAUUAGAUGACCUUCCUUGUAAGAUCCUGAGAUCUUCUCGCGUGAAUCACUCCCCUCGUUAAUCGCUCGUUCGUCACGCAUCAUUACUCCUUGAUCGGUGUACUGUGAAGCUUGUAAGUUUGCCGUAACUCCGGCAAAAUAUAUCCCUUUUCAUCUCUUUUUGUCAUAUGUUCUACAUUUUCCCUUAUCGCUGGCAACAAAGGAGUCGAUAACUGCUUGGAACACUCGCGAAAUCGAUGCCCAUCCCUCUCCAUUUGCACCUUUUGGCACCAUCACAACUUCCUUUCGGCUGCUUUUGGCACAUCGUUGUGUCAAAAAGCUCAAGGAGGCUUAUUAAACUUGGCGACAAUCUCCAACUUGCCUGUUACCCUCAGCUUUUCCACCUUAUUAACCAUCCAAACAACUUCAAAUCUCCCCAUGCAAAUUGUGUUCGAUAUCUUCGAUCCCUAGUCCGACAACUUAACAAUGCCUGAAUCAUUAACAGACACUACGAACUCCUUUGCCUCUACUCUAAAUCGAGAACUGCAAACUAUCAACCUUGUGGCAUAGGGCUGUUUCAUCUGAUAUUGUGAAAUCGACGAGGUUGAUGAAAAAAUAGCCGUGCUAGUUGGUCUGGACGCUGCGUGGUGGUUCUGCGCAUUUUCCAGCAUCAGCACAUGGGUAUCACGCGCCAGCGAACUCGCUGUCGAAAUGGCGCAUCCACUCGAUGACGGCCUGGUCAUGGUCGGAAUGAUCUACACAGCUGACCAGUAAGGUGCGUGGGUCCUGAUAUUGGUCGGAUUGGAAGUGAAUGGAGUGUGACCUUUUGGUUCGCCUCUCAUCGGAUCCGUGAAUUUUCUUUUGACUCAGUAGAUGGGGUCACCUGGAGCCUCUAUAUCCCCAUCACCGAUCGCGUCGACACCAAAUCUACGAGCAGCGUCGCUAGGAUUGACUGCCGCCUGUGGGUAGGAGGGGUUGUAUCUUUGUAGUGCGAGGCCGGUGGAUUUGGUGGGUCCAAUCACUGCUUUGAGGAUGCCCAAACCGGUGGAAGUGUCUGGUUGUUUGGUUUUGGAUGUUGGGGGAGAAGUCGCCAUCCUAGAGAGGAGACAGCGAGAUAGAAUUUACCAAUGUCUGUAGUUGCCAUCCUUGAUAUUCUCUACAAGUGAUAAAAUCAUAUAUGAUGCUUUCCUUGUAGAUCUUAAAGUUCUGCCAAAUAAAUUUUGCACAAGUACUUAAUUUUCGUCAUGGUAUAUACUUAAUUUUCCUCAUGGUAUAUAGAUCAAGUUUAAUGGUGCUAUGGUUGAUUAUAACAUAAUCAUAUGUACUCUGCAUGGAUCUAAAUGAUCACGAUCACAAUCACAAUCACAAUCACAAUCACAUUGUAGCAACUGAACUUUAAGAUAGAACAUUUCACAUUUAUGGUCUGAUGAAUUUCUGCUUCAUUCUGAAGUUAUCCUUGUUUUUUAGCAUGGGCAUAUGCUAAAGCUGCACUCUUUUUGGCCUGGGGAACCUAUAUGCUGCCUUCUUUUCUCAAUGCUGUAAAUUUCCUUUACUUCACAUUCCCUUUGCUCAUGUAGGGUUCGGUUUCACUAUGGUCAUCCGGAUGUUUUCGAUAGAAUAUUUCACCUUACAAGAGGUGGGGUUAGUAAAGCCUCGAAGGUUAUCAAUCUCAGCGAAGACAUAUUUGCUGGUAUGCUCAUUCUGUGGGUUAUUCUUUAGCUUUUAAAAUUUUGUUGUGUGACUUAGGUUGAAUGCUACUCUGUAACUUCAAAUGCAGGCUUUAAUUCUACACUUCGUGAAGGCAAUGUAACCCAUCAUGAAUAUAUACAAGUUGGGAAAGGGAGGGAUGUUGGUCUUAAUCAGAUUUCUCUAUUUGAGGCAAAAAUAGCCAAUGGCAAUGGAGAACAAACAUUGAGUCGUGAUUUAUAUCGACUGGGGCAUCGUUUUGAUUUCUUUCGAAUGUUGUCAUGCUAUUUCACUACCACUGGUUUCUACUUCAGUACCUUGGUAUGUGAUCCAGAUUGCACUCUUGUAGUUGAAUACUGAAUUGCGUAUGGUAUUUUCACCUAGUGUGUUUCUUGUGGCAGAUUACUGUGCUCACCGUGUAUGUAUUUCUUUACGGGCGUCUUUAUCUUGUCCUUAGUGGUCUUGAAGAAGGGUUAAGUAACCAACCGGCAAUUCGAGACAAUAAGCCUCUCCAAGUUGCUCUGGCUUCUCAGUCUUUUGUACAAAUUGGAGUUUUAAUGGCCCUUCCUAUGAUGAUGGAAAUAGGCUUGGAAAAGGGUUUUCGGACAGCAUUGAGUGAAUUCAUACUGAUGCAGUUACAAUUGGCACCGGUGUUUUUCACUUUCUCUCUUGGAACAAAGACCCAUUAUUAUGGUAGGACAUUACUUCAUGGAGGUGCAAAAUAUAGGCCGACAGGCCGUGGAUUUGUGGUGUUUCAUGCCAAAUUUGCUGAUAACUAUCGCCUCUACUCUCGUAGUCAUUUUGUCAAGGGCCUUGAAUUAAUGAUACUUCUUCUUGUUUAUCAAAUUUUUGGUCAAUCCUAUAGAGGUGCUGUUGCAUAUAUCUUAAUCACUGUAUCGAUGUGGUUUAUGGUCGGCACCUGGCUUUUUGCACCCUUUCUGUUCAACCCUUCUGGUUUUGAGUGGCAAAAGAUAGUUGACGAUUGGACUGAUUGGAACAAGUGGAUAGGCAACAGAGGAGGUAUUGGUGUCCCUUCAGAAAAAAGUUGGGAAUCAUGGUGGGAAGAGGAACAAGACCAUCUUCGUCAUUGUGGGGCACGUGGUAUUAUCACUGAGAUUAUAUUAUCGCUUCGGUUUUUCAUUUAUCAGUAUGGGCUUGUUUAUCACCUAAACAUCACCAAGAAAACCAAAAGCUUUCUGGUAGGCUGUGGCUUGUAGUUCCUUCAUGUUCUUGAAUUUAUACUCUUUUGAGUAUAAUUGUUAGAUUCAUCUGUAACCUUUUGUUAAAUAUCUGCUUGGUUUACAGGUAUACGGAAUAUCGUGGCUGGUGAUCUUGCUAAUUCUUUUUGUCAUGAAGGUGAUGAUGAUUCUUUACUACUCAUUAAUCAUUAUUGGAGAAUCAUAAAUACAAAUGUGUAGUUUGAACAAUAGCACUUCAUUUACUCUAAUAUAAGUAGAUUAAUAAGGUAAUUAUUUGUGUUGGAAAUUGCCAACUUUUCAGCGAUCGAUCUUAUGCCCCUGUUUGGUGGGGGAUUAAAAUCAGAUUUUUAGUAAAUUUUGAUAAAAGUUGAUGAAAUGUGUGGUUGAAAAGUUGAGAGCCCUAAUGUGUGGUUAAAAUUAAUUGUUGAUUUUUGGCUUAGAUUAAAAUCUGGACUUUAAUUUCUAUGGAACAGGGGCUAUGCAUCACUCUAAAUUGUUAAUAAAUUUUUGAGGAAAAUUUCAAAUGACUUCCUUUCCUAUUUUCUCAGAAUGUCUGUAUCUGCAGGUUAUUUGAGAAAUUUUUUUGAGCAUUUCUCCUUGGCCUACUUUUUAUAUUUGAAGAAUUUGGGGAUUGUAUGAAAAAUGUUCUAGACUGUAAAUAAAUUCCAGGGGAUUCAGUUUGGUAGAGCAAUAUUGGUAGCUCCAGAUAAAACUCAGUUUUUUCCUCCUAAUAUUUGGCUACCUUCAGCUUUUCUUGGCUUUUUAUCUAACACGUAGUGCGCAGAUUAUGAUUUUAUAAUUUUUAAUUUCUACCCCAGACAAUUUCGGUUGGACGAAGAAAAUUCAGUGCAAAUUUUCAACUUGUGUUCCGGCUUAUCAAGGGUUUGAUCUUUGUCACCUUUGUCUCUAUCCUGGCUAUUUUGAUUGCACUCCCUCACAUGACACCGCUGGACAUUGUUGUUUGCAUACUUGCCUUCAUGCCAACUGGUUGGGGUUUACUUCUGGUGAGUGAUGUUUUUAUCCUGCUCUUGCACUUUUUCAUGGUAUAUAUUUGAUAGUUACUUGAACAAAUUCUUCCCAAUUCAACAUUAUAUUCUUAACAACCUGUGACAAUUUACACCACUAGUUGCAAGAUGUCUUCAUUGCUCCAUAAAAAAUCGAUUUCUUAGUGCUUACUGAAUUAUGAGAUAACUGAACUUAUUCCCGACUGUUAAAUUGCAUUCAUUCAGAAACAUAUGGGAGGAAAAUUGCAUUUUAGUGCGUGUGUUUAUUCAUUGAGUGUUUAUGCUAAUAGUUUCUUUCAUGUAAGCUGAGGCAACUCUCUCUUAUGUCUUUUCCUUCCAUUGUCAAUGGGAUUAAUUGUUUCUUCCGUGUAAUCUUUUGUAAAACUGGAAGGCUAGGAUUCUUUAUUGUCUGCUUCUGAUUUCUUCCAGAUUGCCCAAGCAUGUAAGCCUAUUGUUCAAAGAGCUGGAUUCUGGGGAUCUGUACGAACACUAGCUCGUGGAUAUGAAAUUUUGAUGGGUUUGCUUCUAUUCACGCCAGUUGCUUUUCUUGCAUGGUUUCCAUUCGUUUCAGAAUUCCAAACUCGAAUGUUGUUCAACCAAGCCUUCAGUAGAGGUCUUCAGAUUUCUCGUAUUCUUGGUGGACACAGGAAAGACAGAUCCUCCCGAAACAAGGAGUAGGGCGUUGGAGGCUGAAACGCCUAUUCUAUUACAAAUUCUUCAUUGCAAAACACAAGUUAUGGAGAUCAUAUUUAUUGAUCUUGUAAGAUGCUUUUGUAUGUAUAUGCGGCAGCAUUUUAAGCCGUGAUGUAGAUUUAAUUUCAUCCAACUCCAAAAGAUCUAUUAAAAUUGCCUUCCGUCCAAUUGUCUUCUUAUGUGCUAUCUCUGUUCAUAUUGGCAGCUAUGUUGUGGGCUUUGUUAGCCUAAAACUCGAUAGUUGUGAUGAGCUUACGUUGUUUAAGAGCUUCAGAUGUUAGAAGAGAUGUGUUUAUUUAUUUAAAUUUAAUGUUCACCACGUCAUAGAUGUUAGAAGAGAUGUGUUUAUUUAUUUAAAUUUAAUGGCUGAGGAAGGCAAGCAAGUAUUUCCAGAUCCAUCAAGUAGAGGAUGAAAUGAAGUUGGGCAUAGCUGAGAUAUAUCUCAAAGGAAAGGCAGACAUAUGGUUCUAUGGCUUUAUGUCCAGCCAUCCUAAUGCUGAUUGGGGCAUGUUUUCCAGGGAGAUUUGCAAAAAAACAGGGCUGAAGAAGUAAUAGAAACCUUUAGCAAACUGAGGCAAGGAGGAACCAUUACAGAAUAUCAGGAACAAUUUGUAGAAUUGAAAUCCCAAGUGAUGAUUUCCCUACCUCACUUACCAGAAUCCUACUAUAUUUCUAUAUUCAUCAAUGGUUUGAAGGAUGAGAUCAAAUCCAUGGUUAAAAUUAUGCAACCCCAACCUUAGCCAAAGCUUUCGAGAUUGCUUUACUUCAAGAAAAUACCAUCAUAGCCCUUAAUAGAGGUCCAAAAACCUUUAAAGCAUAUCCCCAAACAAAAUGGUCUCACCCCAAUCCUAAACCAAAUGAACCUCGAACUAAACCUACACCUUACACCGAACCAAACCCAAAGAACUCCACCAAUCCACUGAAAUUUAAAGCUAUCACCCCCUCUGACUUCCCAAAAAAAGGGAGUUAGGAUUAUGUUAUAAAUGUGAUGAGAAGUAUACUAGGGGUCAUGUGUGCAAAAAUAAGAUGCUCAAUUUCAUAUUGGUGGAUGAAGAGGUAGAAGGGGAGUUAGAUGAACCUCCAAGGGAGAAAAUGGAUCAGAUGGAGAAAGGGGAAAAAGAGGAGAUAAUGGAAAUCUCCAUCUAUGCAUUGAAGGGCAGCAACAGAGCAAAAACCAUGAGGCUACCAGGGAUGAUCAAAAAGAGAAAAGUGUCUAUAUUAAUUGAUAGUGGGAGUACCCACAGUUUCAUUAAUGAAAUCUUGGCAAAAAAUAUCAACUACUGGAUGCAGCCAGCAACACCUACUUCAGUUACCGUGGCAGGAGAUGAAAAACUCAUCAGUAAGGCAGUUUGUAAUCUACUGAUAUGGAAGAUGCAAGAUUUGGAGUUUCAAUGCCAGCUGAGAGAAUUGAAAUUAGGAGGCGGUGAUAUGGUUUUGGGGGUCCAUUGGCUGAGUCAGUUCAACCCUGUGUUAUUUGAUUUUCUGAGGGGCAGCAUUACCUUUACUUGAAAAGGUAUAGAGAUGGAACUCCAGAGUGAAGUCAUUAAGGAAUAAUUCCACAUGAUGAUUGAUACUAGGAAGGGAUGUUGGUUCAAGAACCAAGCGUAUGAAGUGGUAGCACAAAUCACAGCCAUCACUGAGAAAGAGACAGAGGUCAUCCCUGCUAAACUUAAAGCUAUUGUAGAUCAUUUUCCUAUGGUUUUCUUAGAAGCUAAAGGGUUACCACCUUCUAGGUUCAAUGACCAUCAUAUUCCAUUGAAAGAAGAGGCUCAGCCCUUUAAAAUCAGGCCUUACAGGUGCCCAUACAUUCAGAGAGCAAAGAUUGAUUUCCUAUGGUUUUCUUAGAAGCUAAAGGGUUACCACCUUCUAGGUUCAAUGACCAUCAUAUUCCAUUGAAAGAAGGGGCUCGGCCCUUUAAAAUCAGGCCUUACAGGUGCCCAUACAUUCAGAGAGCAAAGAUUGAUUUCCUAUGGUUUUCUUAGAAGCUAAAGGGUUACCACCUUCUAGGUUCAAUGACCAUCAUAUUCCAUUGAAAGAAGGGGCUCGGCCCUUUAAAAUCAGGCCUUACAGGUGCCCAUACAUUUAGAGAGCAAAGAUUGAAAGUAUGGCUAGGGAGAUGAGAGAAAGUGGGAUAAUACAACCAAGCAACAGCCCUUAUGCCUCACCUGUGUCAUUGGUCAAGAAGAAAGAUGGGACAUGGAGAUUUUGUGUUGAUUAUAGGGAGUUGAACAUCCUCACAGUUGAACAUCCUCACAGUCAAGAAAAAGUACCCUAUGCCCUUAAUUGAUGAAUUGCUGGAUGAACUUAAAAGGGCAAAGUGGUUUACAAAAAUCAACCUAAGAGCAGGAUACAAUCAAAUCAGGGUGGCUGAAGAAGAUGUCCACAAGACAGCUUUUAAAACCCGUGAGGGUCUUUAUGAAUUCAGGGUCAUGCCAUUUGGGUUUACAAAUGCCCUUGCCUCUUUUCAAUGUCAAAUGAACGUAGCAUUCAAGUAGCAUCUUAGGCAAGUCAUCUUGGUAUCUUUUGAUAAUAUACUGGUAUACAGCCCAAACUUGAAGACUCAUUGUAAGCAUGUUGUUGUCUUGGAACUUUUAAAGCAACACCAAUCGUAUAAUAAGAUGAAUGAGUGCUCUUUUGGCCAAUCUUGCAUAGAGUACUUACGCCACAUUGUAUCUGCAGAGAGAGUGUCAGCAGAUCUCUUAAGAUAGUGGCAAUGCAGAAAUGGCCUAAGCUAGCCAAUGUUAAAUAGUUAAGAGGAUUCCUUGGCUUAACUGGGUAUUACAGAAGGCUCGUAAGGAAAUAUGGAGCCAUAGCCAAUCCACUAACUGAAUUACUAAAGAAGGAGAAUUUCCAUUGGGAGGAGGCUGCCGAAUCAGCUUUUCAAGAAUUAAGGGAUGCUAUAAGUACUACCCCAAUACUGGCUUUACCAUAUUUCUCUAUCCCGUUCAUUGUGGAAACGGAUGCAUGCUAUGUGGGGGUUAGGUGCAGUGUUGAUGUAGAAAAAAAAGGCCAAUAGCCUACCUAAACAAAGGAAUUGGCAACAGGAAUUUGGUGUUAUCAAUUUAUAAGAAGGAACUGCUAGCUCUGGUGACUGAGGUAGGAAAGUGGAGGCACUAUUUAGAAGGUCACCACUUUAUCAUUAAGAUAGAUCAUCAGUCACUCAAGUACUUGAGCAAAGGAUCACUACUCCAAUACCGCAGAAGUGGCUAUCAUUUACUCUUGGGACUGAGUUAUGAAAUACAUUAUAAGAAGGGUGUUGAUAACAAGGUGGCAGAUGCCUUGUCCAGGAGAGAAGAAAAGGGGUCUGAAUGCUUGGCAAUCACUAAGGUCACUCCAAUGUAGGUUGAAGAAGUAAUAGCUAGCUAUAAACGAGAUAAAGACACGGAAGGUAAAAUCACUGAUGUGCUACUCUCUAAGACAUGGAGCCAGAAUACCAGUACCUAAAUGGACUUCUCAAAUACAAGUCAAGGAUGUAUAUUGGUACUGGGGGAGGAAUAAGGAAGAAGCUAAUUGCAGCCAUACACUCAUUGCAGGAAGGGGGCAUUCAGGAAUACAGGCAAGUAUACACAGGGCUAAGCAAUUCUUCUUUUGGCCUAGAAUGAACAGGGACAUUAAACAAGAGGUGUUGGAGUGUGACACGUGCCAAAGGUUAAAGGGGAACAUGUAGCUUACCCAGGAUUACUUCAACCCCUACCAAUACCACAAUAUGCUUGGAGCCACAUUUCCAUGGACUUCAUUGAAAGGCUACCUACUUCUGGAUCAAAGAAUGUGAUAUUCGUGGUGGUGGACAAGUUCACCAAAUAUGCUCAUUUCUUAACUCUCUCACAUACAUUCACAGCCCCAACCAUCGCCAAGUUAUUCCUGGAUAACAUCUACAAGUUGCAUGGAAUGCCUCACAGCAUUGUUACGAACAGAAUUAAGAUAUUUAUAAGUGAGUUUUGGCAGGCAUUGUUUGGACACUUGGGGGGUCAUAUUGUAGUUAAGCACAGCCUAACACCCAUAAACUGAUGGGCAGGUAGAAAUACUGAACCAAUGCCUUGAAAUGUACCUAAGAUGCAUGGUUUACAAGCAACCAAAACAAUGGAUUAAGUGGAUUAGCCUAGCUGAAUGCUGGUACAACACUACCCUGCAUACCUCUAUUCGAAUGGCACCUUUUGAAGUCUUAUAUGGUAUCAAACCCCCAAACUAGCCUUGGGGCCCUAUCAGCAAACUAACAUUGCUUCAGUUGAAGAUAUUUUGCAAGAAAGGCAGAAGAUAGAUAAAAUGCUAAAAGAGAACCUUGCCCAAGCCAAUGCCAGGAUGAAGCAUUAUGCAUAUCAACAUAGAAGUGAAAAGGAAUUCCAAGUUGGGAAUUGGGUAUAUUUAAAGCUUCAUCCAUAUGCUCAGCAAACUGUAACAAGGAGAUCCAACGAGAAGCUAUCCGUAAAGUAUUAUGGCCCUUACAAGGUAGUGCAGAAGGUUGGGAAGGUGGCCUAUAAACUGAAGUUACCUGCUGCAUCUCAAAUCCAUCCUAUUUUUCAUGUCCCUCUACUGAAAAAGAAAAUUGGGGAGAAGGAAGUUCCAACUGGUGCAAUGUCGGAAUUUUAAAGGGGCAAGCGAACACACAUUCAACCACACGCUACGUGGGAGAGAGCAGAUGAAAUAAAGGCUACUUUCCCAAAUUUUCAACCUUGGGGACAAGGUUAUUCGAAGGGGGAGGGAUGUUAUGGUGAUGGCACGAAGAGAGAGGAACAACCGAGCUGGGGAGGAAAAGGGAAGAGAAGUACCAGACCAAUGAAGAAGGAAGAAGACGAGGUUACAAUGGCCAACUGAUUUUGGAAAAUGAGAUACUUUGUCGUUUUGAUUUUUGAGUCUAAAACUGUAAAUGGACAAACAUGUUUUGUUUCCUUUGUUGCACGAUUUUGAGAUCUGUUAUAUCUAAGAUAUCCAACGAGGGAAAGAGAGAUUGUUAUGCGUAAUUUCUCUCACGGAUUAUCUAUUCCUCUAUUUUUUCUUCUUCUCCAGUGUAUUGUCCUCAUUUCAUAGUGUAAACAUCAGUGGCUUCAAUUAAUCCAUUGGGCGUUGAGUUUAUUUUACUUCUGGUUUAUUAUUGUGUUUGAUUGUGUCCCAGGUUAAGAUUUGAAGCUCAACCAUAACAAAAGAAUUAACAGUAACGAUAUUCAAAAUUCAGAAUGUCAGUCUUUCAUUUUUUCAUGCCCCAUAAAUUAGAAAACAUAAUUAAACAAUUCCUCUUUUUUCUUUCUUUCUCUUAUUUAUUUAUUUUGGAAAAAUUGAGGUCAAAAUCAAUAAUAUUAUCUGAAAAUUCAUGAAAAAUGAAACAAAAAGUUUAGUGAAACUUACCAGGAGCUUGAAUUUCAUCAGCUGCUAUUGAAGGAUCAUCCAUUUUUCCACCACCUAUCUUAUUGAUAUAUAAAUCCACAGAUUCGUAAAAACUCCAAAUGUCCAAGCAAAACAAUAACACUACAAUACUAAAAGUAGAAACAAGAAAAUUUCGUAACUUGAUGCGUAUCCAGAAAGUUAAAUUUGAAAUUGAUGAAAAACUACAAAUUAUCUCAAGAUUUUUCGCCGCGCUGUGUAUGUAAAAAUAAACAUAAUCGCUGAGCGAUUUUUUCU